Molecule: ribosomal RNA, 482 nt
Filed under: uncultured bacterium
Lineage: Bacteria
Description: partial 16S ribosomal RNA
Rfam family: Bacterial small subunit ribosomal RNA
Source: RNAcentral
AUUGAACGCUGGCGGCAUGCUUUACACAUGCAAGUCGAACGGUAACAGGCCGCAAGGUUCUGACGAGUGGCGAACGGGUGAGUAAUGCAUCGGAACGUGCCCAGACGUGGCGGAUAACUACUCGAAAGAGUAGCUAAUACCGCAUACGAUCUAUUGAUGAAAGCGGGUGACCGUAAGGCCUCGCGCGAUUGGAUCUGCCGAUGUCAGAUUAGGUAGUUGGUGGGGUAAAGGCUCACCAAGCCAACGAUCUGUAGCUGGUCUGAGAGGACGACCCGCCACACUGGGACUGAGACACGGCCCAGACUCCUACGGGAGGCAGCAGUGGGGAAUUUUGGACAAUGGGCGCAAGCCUGAUCCAGCAAUGCCGCGUGCAGGAAGAAGGCCUUCGGGUUGUAAACUGCUUUUGUACGGAACGAAACGGCUCUGGUUAAUACCCGGGGCUAAUGACGGUACCGUAAGAAUAAGCACCGGCUAACUACGUG